Molecule: ribosomal RNA, 207 nt
Filed under: uncultured bacterium
Lineage: Bacteria
Description: partial 16S ribosomal RNA
Rfam family: Bacterial small subunit ribosomal RNA
Source: RNAcentral
CGUGUAGGUGGUUCUGUAUGUCUACCGUGAAAGCGUACGGCUCAACCGUAUUUAGUCGGUAGAAACUGCAGGACUUGAGGCUGGGAGGGGCUGGUGGAAUUCCCCGUGUAGCGGUGAAAUGCGUAGAGAUGGGGGAGAACACUCGUGGCGAAGGCGGCCAGCUAGACCAGUUCUGACACUGAGGCGUGAUAGCGUGGGGAGCAAACA